This is a long non-coding RNA of Antechinus flavipes (yellow-footed antechinus), 6268 nucleotides long. RefSeq lists it as uncharacterized. The transcript has 4 exons. Lineage: Eukaryota; Metazoa; Chordata; Mammalia; Dasyuromorphia; Dasyuridae. The record is from RefSeq and is a predicted model, not a curated record.
GUUUACUUACAUUUUUGUGUAAUGUGUAUAAAUGCCAUGUUGUGGUACCCACUCAUUUCCCAGUGUUCUUUCACUGGGUGUAGCUGGUUCUGUUCAUUACUGAUCAAUUGGAACUGAUUGGAUCCUCUCAUUGUUGAAGAUAGCCACUUCCAUCAGAAUUGAUCCUUGUAUAGUAUUGUUGUUGAAGUGUAUAAUGAUUUCCUGAUUCUGCUCAUUUCACUCAGCAUCAGUUCAUGGGAUAACUAUACCUGAAGGAGCUGAAGUCAAGGAAGAAUUCAUUUAUGGAUUUAGGAGGAAGAAAGAUGAAAAAAAUGAUAAAUUUGGGAUGGCAUUUUCUGUCCAGAGUCUAUCAAGAUUGCUUUGGAUCAUUGAACCACUGAGAAAACCAAAUCUUUCACAGUUGAUCAUCACACAUUCCUGCUAUUAUUGUGUACAAGGAGGUGACACUUCUUUAUCUGAGCUCUCCUUGAUGUCCUUUAGAUCAACACCAAAUCAAGCCUCUGAACUGGUUUUGGAAUGACAGAACCCACAGAUAUUUGGAGUAUAACAAAUUUCCAAUAGAAGAUAUUUUGGAAGAACUUCAGAAAAGGUCUGUUUCAGUCAGGCAUGGAAGGAGGCAGCCAAGCACAGGCACAGUGCAGAGACUCGGGGUCCCCAUGCCCUGGGGAAUAUAACUAGAGGAAUCUACAGCAGUGUUGGCUACUCUGCCUGAUUGCAAACCAGUAGAUUAGCAGAUUAGCUGUAAAACAUCCAAUAAAUACAAAAGAUAAAUAAUGAGCCCUUCAACCCCAGAAUAACAAGAGACCUGGCCCUAUCCACCUAGUACUGGAAGUUAGUGAGCAUCAACCCAGCAUAACCACUGUCACCUGUAAAGGAAGCUUGGACAAUCUCUCCUUUGCCAUAAAAGCAAAUCUUUUAAAGAAUGAACAAAAAGGCAAAAAGAACUCUGAACAUAUAUAGUUUUUAUGCAGAGAGAGAACAGAUUUCAAACCCCAAGGACACAAAAAAAACAGGUAUCUCCAGAUGAAGCCCCAAAGGGUGAUAUGAGUUUGUCCCUAUCUCACAAGGCUAUCUUGGAAGAAUUCAAAAAGGAUGUUACAAGAGAGUUAGAAGAAAAAUGGGGAAAGAAAAUGAGAACUUUGUAAGAGGGUUUGGCAAAGGAAACAAAUUAUCUGAAGAAAACUCCUUAAAAUUAGACUUAAUGAAAAGAAAAAAGCAAAUAAUUCCUUACAAAAUAUACUUGAUGAAAUGGAAAAACCAUAUAACUCCUUACAAGAUAGAUUUGACAAAAUAAAAAAGAAAACAAUUCCUUGAAAAACAGAAUUUGUGAAAUGAUGGGGGGGAUCCACUGAACAAAACAAUUCAUUUAAAAAUGCAAUUGACCUAAUACAAAAAGAGUUUUUAAAAGUAUCUGAAGAAAAAAUUCACUAAAAAUUAGAACUGAACAAAUGGAAAUAAAUGACUCAAUGAGGUAUCAAAAAUCAGUCAAACAAAACCAAAAAAAAAAAAAAGAAGAAGAAGAAGAAAAUGUAAAAUGCCUAGAAAAACAACUGACCCGGAAAUUAAAUCUAGGACAGACAAUCUUAGGAUUAUUGGACUUCCUGAAAACCAUGAUGAAACAAAGAUGAAAUUAUCAAGGACAAAUUUCCUAAUGUCAUAGAACCAGAAGGUAAAAGAGCCAUUGAAAGAAUUUGCUGAUCACCUCCUGAAAGAGACUGCAAAAUGAAAAUUCCAAGGAAUAUCAUAGCUAAAUUUCAGAAUAAUUAGAUCAAGGGAAAGUAUUGUAAGCAGCCAAAAAGAAACACUUCAAAUAUGGACAAGCCACAAUCAGGAUUACCCAGGAUCUAGCAGUUUCCACUUUAUAUGAUCAAAGGGUCUGGAUGUUGGAAUCCUUACAAAAUGUAAAGUCAUUAGAGUUGAUAGAGACAAUAAUUAUCUAAUUUAGCAUGGUUCAGUAUGAUUGAUCUGAUCUUACAAGGAGAUGUUAUAGAACAGAAGAAACAAGGUGCUAAGUGGAACUGAUAGAAACAAUGCGUGUAUUCACAUCUUUAGAGAGCUCAUAUAAGCAAAAAGCUCUUAGAGCCAGAGAGCAUUCUGGGAGGAAACCCAUAAUCCCACUCUCAGAUCCCACAAUCCCACUCUUGGAGGUGGAGUCAGAUUCAUUCACUUCAUCUCACACCACUAUGGUGGCGGGGCUCCUGCACUUCCCCCACUGAGACCAAGACUAGUUUGAAAGGCUCUCCAGAAAGCUGCCCAGACCCAGGCAAGGAGACAAGACUUGGAAGGAGCACUCUGGGAGACUGAGAGCCAGAAUCCCUCUCUCAGAGGCAAGAGAGAUUCAUUCCAUUUUCCACCUUUGUGCUGGCUGGAGGCUGAAGGACAAACCUUUGGAUUUGGAGACAUUCAGAGGGAGCUCUUGGAACCAAGCAGAGAGAUAGGCUCUAAGAAAUCUACUCAGGCCUAAGGAAGGAGAAAAUAAACAUUUGCAUUUUAUCAGCUGGCUGUGUUUGGAGUGAUUAUUACUUUUAAUUGAAACUAAGGCUGCCUCCAGAAAACCUCCCCGAGAAACCUGCUCCCAGAGAACCAUUAUUUUAAAGAAGAGAACACCACACCUGGAAUCUGAUAUUCUUAAAGGCAAAGGAACUUGAAUCGCAGCCAAGAAUUAACAAUCCAGCAAAAUCCAGCAUUAUCUUUCAGAGAAGAGAAUGGCCAUUCGAUGAUAUAGGUGAAUUUCAUUUAUUUCUUAUGAAGGACCAGAGUUGAAAAAAAAAAUUGAUCUCCAAAUACAGAACUCAAGAGAAAUAUAAAAAGGUAAAAAGGAAAGAACUCUUGAUAAUUACAUCUCUGUUAUGAAUAUACUUAGAGAAAUUGAGGGAAAGGAAGGAGAGGGAUGAACAUCAUGUGAAUCUUACUCUCAUCAGAUUCACUCAAAGAGAGAUUAUUAGACAUAUUUGGCUUCAUAGAGUAAUUUGUCUCACCCUAUAAGAAAGUGGGAGGGAGAAGAGAAAAGAAAAGAGGGAGGUUAAUAGAAGGAAAAAUAGAAGUAAUAGGGGAAAGAUAUAAGAAAGGGAGAGAGCUGUAAAGAGGGAAGGCUGUUUGAGGGAGGUGGUGGUCAGAAGCAAAAUACUGGAAAGUAGGAAAAGGGGAAAAGGAAAGAGAAAAACAUAACUUGGGGUAAAUAAGAUUGUGGGAAAUACAAAAUUGGUCAUUUUAACUGUUAAUGUGAAUGGGAUGAAUUCUUUAUAAAAUGGAAGCAGAUAAAAGCCAGAAUCCUAUAAUAUGAGAGUAAUGCAUACAGGGUAAAGGUAAAAGGCUGGAGUAUAAUCUAUUAUGGUUAGGUGAAGUAAAAAAAAAAAAAAAAAAAAAAAAAAGCAAGGGUAGCAAUCCUGAUCUCAGAUCAAGCAAAAGCAAAAAUAGAUCUAAUUAAAAGGGAUAAGGAAGGAAACCAUAUCUUGCUAAAGGGUACCAUAGAUAAUGAAGUAAUUAAUCUCAAUACUAAAUAUAUAUGCACCAGUGGUUUAGCAUCCAAAUUCCUAGAGGAGAAGUUAAGAAAGCUGCAAGAAGAAAUAGACAGCAAAAGUAUACUAAUAGGGGAUCCCAACCUUGCUCAGAGCUAGAUAAAUCUAACCAUAAAACAAAUAAGAAAGAAGUUAUGGAGAUAAAUAGAAUUUUAGAAAAGUUAGGUAUGAUAGAUCUCUGGAGAAAAUUGAAUAGAGACAGAAAAGAGUAUACUUUUUUCUUGAUGGUUCAUGGAACCUAUGGAAAAAUUGACCAGGUAGAGUCAAAACAGAGAAAGAAAAUUAUAGACCAGUUUCCCUAAUGAAUUUUGAUGCAAAAAUCUUAAAUAAAAUAUUAGCAAAGAGAUUACAGCAAGUUAUCCCCAGGAUAACAAAAAUCAUGAUUAUUUCAAUAGUUGCAGAAAAAGCAUUUGACAAAAUCCAACACCCAUUCCUAUUAAAAACACUAGACAAUAUAGGAACAAAUUGAGUUUUCCUUAAAAUAGUCAGUAGCAUCUAUUUAAAACCAUCAGCAAGCAUCAUAUGUAAUGGGGAUAAACCAGAAUCACUUCCCAAUAUGAUCAUGGGUGAUAUAAGGUUGCCUACUAUCACCAUUACUAUUCAAUAUUGUAUUAGAAAUGUUAGCUUUGGCAAUAAGAGAAGAAAAAAGAGAUGAAAGGAUUUAGUAUAGAUAAGGAGGAAACCAAAUUAUCAUUUUUAUAGAUGAUAAAAUGAUAUAUUUAGAGAUUCCUAGAGAAUCAACUAAAAAACUACUAGAAACAAUUCACAACUUUAGCAAAGUUGCAGAAUUCAAAAUAAAUCCACAUAAAUCAUCAGUAUUUUUAUAUAUUACUAGCAAAAUCCAGCAGUAAGAGAUACAAAAAGAAAUUCCACUUAAAAUAACUGUAUAUAAAAUAUUUGGGAGUCUACCUUUCAAAAUAAAGUCAAGAACUAUAGGAACACAAUUACAAAACACUUUCCACAUAAAUAAAGUCAGAUCUAAACUCUUGGAAAAAUAUCAAGUGCUCAUGGGUAGACUGAGCUAAUACAAUAAAAAUUACAAUACUAUCUAAAUUAAUCUACUUAUUCAGUGCCAUAACAAUCAAACUCCCAAGAAAUUACUUGACAGAGUUAGAAAAAAAUAAUAACAAAAUUCAUUUGGAAAAACAAAAAGUCAAGAAUUUCAAGGGAAUUAAUGAAACAAAAUGUAAAUGAAGGUGAUCUAGCUGUAUCAGAUCUAAAACUACAUUAUAAAGCAGUGGUCAUCAAAACCAUUUGGUACUGAUUAAGAAAUAGAGUAGUCAAUCAGUGCUAUUGUUUAGGUUUACAGAACAAAAUAGGCAAUGGCAGUAGUAACCUAGUGUUUGACAAGUCCAAAGAACCCAGCAUUUGGGAUAAGAACUCACUUUUUGACAAAAACUGCUGGGAAAAUUAGGAAUUAGUAUGGCAGAAACUAGGCACUAACCAACACCUAGCACCCUAUAUAAAAUUAAGAUAGAAAUGGGAUCAUGAUUUAGACAUAAAGAGUGAUAUUAUAAGCAAAUUGGAAGAACAAAGGAUAGUUUACUUCUCAGAUCUGUGGAGAAGGAAAGAAUUUGUGAUCAAAGAAGAACUUGAGUACAUUAUUGAAUACAAAAUGGAUAAAAAGGUUUUGUAGAAACAAAACUAAUGCAGACAAAAUUAGAAGGAAACCAAUAACCUGGGAAGAAUCUAUUCUUCUCUUUCUCCAUAAAAACUAUUUGUGAACCCCAGUAUCACCAUUCCUCCCUCUCCUCAGUGCACUGCUGGGGCCUUGGACUCUCAGCUAGGACCCUGCUCCCUUUUCCACCAUUGCUAGAGUUCCUGAGACCCCAAAGCCCGCCAGCCCCAAAGGAGCAGGAGUGUGUGCAGAGGAGACCCCUGCCUUGACCUGGCCACCCACUUUUGUCUAGAGGCUCCAGGAUCAGAUGUUGUCCUGAUUCCUCUCUGUUACAUGUAUAGCUCAAGGUGUAUAUAUGUUUUGUACCUUUGCAGACAACUGUACAUUGUGUAAGAAAGUUAUUUGAGCCUCAUGCUGUACAUUUUUGCUUUCAACCUAGAUGUGUUGGUUCCCAGGAGGUCUUCGUAAAUAAAGCCAAAAUGGCCAUUAUUUGUGGGGGGGAAAAACUAUUUGUGAUCAGAUUUCUUUUUGCUUUUUUGCUCACUUUUUUUUUUUAAAAGGCUGAGUUCUGCUUUAGGGGAAGGGGAAAUUGUCCAAACUUCUUCUACAAGUAACAGUGGCUGUGCUGGAUCAGUGAUGACUAAAUUCUGGUGCUGGGUGAGCAUAGCCAGGUUCCUUGUUAUUCUAGGGUUCAGGAGUUCACUAUUUGCCUUUUGCAUUUGUGUUGAAUGUCUUACAACUAAUCUGAUGAUCUACCAUCUUGCAACUAGGACAGAGUAGCCAACACUGCUGCAGAUUCCUCCCAGCAGAUUCUCUGGGGCAUGAAGCCCACACCACCCUGGGUCUCUGCACUGCCUGCACUGUCUGCAUGGGUGCCUGCAUUUGGCUGCCCUCCCUCUGUGCCCAAUUGAAACAGAUCUAUUCUGAAAAUCUUCCAAAUUAUCUUCUGCCAGAAAUUUGUUACACUCCAAAUAUUUGUGGGUUAUGUCACUCCAAAACCAGAGGCUUAAUUUCCUGUUAAUUUGAGGGUUAUGGGGAGAACUCAGAAAAAGCUGUAUCUCUUCUCUGCAUCUUGCUCUGCCCCUCCAUAUAUAUACUUUGAAAAUAAAAAGUUUUAAUUUAAAAAAAAGAA